UGCCAAUUAGCUGAGUUGCUAAUGCAUGAUACUCUUAAUCUCAAGGUUGUGGGUUCGAACUCCACAUUGGGCAA
This is a non-coding RNA of Podarcis lilfordi (Lilford's wall lizard), 74 nucleotides long. NCBI's taxonomy places the organism in Eukaryota, Metazoa, Chordata, Lepidosauria, Squamata, Lacertidae. The record is from the annotation of a GenBank genome assembly.